RNAcentral lists this ribosomal RNA (783 nucleotides) under uncultured Neocallimastigales. RNAcentral describes it as "partial large subunit ribosomal RNA". The stretch from base 5 to 701 matches the Rfam family "Eukaryotic large subunit ribosomal RNA", at positions 24 to 664 of the family's 3401-position model. Lineage: Eukaryota; Fungi; Neocallimastigomycota; Neocallimastigomycetes; Neocallimastigales. The record is from RNAcentral.
UAUCUCUGUAGAGUCUGCAUAUCAAUAAGCGGAGGAAAAGAAACUAACAUAGGAUUCCCUUAGUAACGGCGAGUGAAGCGGGAAGAGCUCAAAUUUGAAAUCUUCAAGGUUUUACCUUGACGAAUUGUAGUUUAAAGAAGUGUUUUCUGUUAGAUGUUUAGUAGCAAAGUUCCUUUGGAAUAGGACAUCAUAGAGGGUGAGAAUCCCGUAUUUGGAUCAUUACUUCCUAGCUUUGUGAUACACUUUCAAAGAGUCGGAUUGUUUGGGAAUGCAGUCCAAAAUGGGUGGUAAAUUUCAUCUAAAGCUAAAUAUUGGCGAGAGACCGAUAGCGAACAAGUACCGUGAGGGAAAGAUGAAAAGAACUUUGAAAAGAGAGUUAAACAGUACGUGAAAUUGUCAAAAGGGAAGCGUUUGACACCAGUGUUGUUUUCUCGAAAAUCAAUUAAGAAUGGAUGGAUUUUGUGUUGUAUUGACUUUAUCAGCUUUCUUCACUUUUUUCUGAGUCUUUUUUAAUGCACUUUUCGGUUAACAAGUCAACAUCAAUUUCUUUUGUUGUAAAAGAGUAUUCGGAAGGUGGCUUUUUCUUCGGAGAAAGUGUUUAUAGCCCUUAUACUUCUACAAUCGGAGAGAUUGAGGUCUGCAGCGUAGAUCCUUCGGGGUUAGAUACAUUUGUGCUAAGCUAUAGUUCUUUAUAGACAACUUGUUGACUAUGUAGUCAUGCCUGUACUUACUCGCUUAUGCUAUUUUACCUACGCUUAGGAUGUUGAAGAUGUAGCACAUCAU